RNAcentral lists this long non-coding RNA (239 nucleotides) under Elaeis guineensis (African oil palm). RNAcentral describes it as "long non-coding RNA (EGUI_LNC045527)". The record is from RNAcentral. Lineage: Eukaryota; Viridiplantae; Streptophyta; Magnoliopsida; Arecales; Arecaceae.
CGGGGGUAUCAUUGGCAUUUUCAUGUAUAUAAAACUGCGUUACGGACCAUGAAUUAAAGCAUAGCAAACCCUAUAGAUCAGAAAUAGAAGUUUCUAUUGACAGGACUUCCUUGUUACAUAGGAUCCUAAAUUAUUUUUUUCCUAGUGGAUUGCUUUCAUGGAGUUAUGUUACAAAAUUAAUUUUGCGGUCCGAUGCAUAAAAUGGGUUCCGGUUUCAUGAUAGUUUCUCGAUGAAAUGA